UUUUGAAAGAAAAAAACGGUCAAAGUCUAGUUCUAACCGGACACGUUUUUGUUGUGAGUGCGUUUAAACCAAUGAGUUGAAAAGCGGACGGUAACCAUAGCAACGGUGUGUAAUUCCGAGGCCAGAAAAAACAAUUAACAAUCGCCAUCUUUUGGGCAGAUUCUCGUGAAUUAAUCAAAUACUAUGUCUAGUAAUAAAACAUUGGGAAAUUUAUUUAAACAAAUCUUUCAUUUAAUGUGAACUGAAAAUAAAACCCUUUUUUAUGUUCUAUAAUAAGUUGAUUUAAUCUAAUAUUCUGUAAAUCAUGACUAAAAGUAUUUAACCAUUGUAAAGCAUUACCAGUGCUUGUAAAUAUAAAAUAAUAUUAAAAUGUAGCGUUAAAAUUUGUUUUGACAAAAAAUGACAAAAUGAUUCGUCCAAAGUGACACAAAAAAAAAAUUUAAAAAACCAGAAAAUAUUAUGGCCCGUAGAGGGCACGUAAGUAGCAAAAUUCUGUCGAUUCAACGAAGUGUCAACAUCUGACAACGUCGCUGCCUUUACUAGUUCUCAGUCUUUUUCACGUUGAAUUUCUUUGGAAAAGUAAGUCGUUCUCGAGUUUCUUUCCAUUCAUUUCAUCUCUCUUCAUCCUUUCUUUGGACGCAGGACUUGUCAUCAAGUCGUUUGAUACCAACAACCUC
This is a long non-coding RNA of Daphnia pulicaria, 677 nucleotides long. RefSeq lists it as uncharacterized. Lineage: Eukaryota; Metazoa; Arthropoda; Branchiopoda; Diplostraca; Daphniidae. The transcript is spliced from 3 exons. The record is from RefSeq and is a predicted model, not a curated record.